GAGUGAACCUGAAAAGGUGCACUGCGAAGUUUUGCUCUUUAAAAAUCUGGAUCAAGCUGAAAAUUGAAACGACACACAGUUAAUGUGUGUUCGAGUCUCUCAAAUUUUCGCAAUCAGAAGUGAAACAUCNNNNNNNNNNNNNNNNNNCACUAUCGUUAACUGAAUACAUAGGUUAACGAGGCGAACCGGGGGAACUGAAACAUCUAAGUACCCCGAGGAAAAGAAAUCAACCGAGAUUCCCCCAGUAGCGGCGAGCGAACGGGGAGCAGCCCAGAGUCUGAAUCAGCUUGUGUGUUAGUGGAACGGUCUGGAAAGUCCGACGGUACAGGGUGAUAGUCCCGUACACCAAAAUGCACAGGUUGUGAACUCGAAGAGUAGGGCGGGACACGUGGUAUCCUGUCUGAAUAUGGGGGGACCAUCCUCCAAGGCUAAAUACUCCUGACUGACCGAUAGUGAACCAGUACCGUGAGGGAAAGGCGAAAAGAACCCCGGCGAGGGGAGUGAAAAAGAACCUGAAACCGUGUACGUACAAGCAGUGGGAGCACCUUCGGGUGUGACUGCGUACCUUUUGUAUAAUGGGUCAGCGACUUAUAUUCUGUAGCAAGGUUAACCGUAUAGGGGAGCCGCAGGGAAACCGAGUCUUAACUGGGCGUUAAGUUGCAGGGUAUAGACCCGAAACCCGGUGAUCUAGCCAUGGGCAGGUUGAAGGUUGGGUAACACUAACUGGAGGACCGAACCGACUAAUGUUGAAAAAUUAGCGGAUGACUUGUGGCUGGGGGUGAAAGGCCAAUCAAACCGGGAGAUAGCUGGUUCUCCCCGAAAGCUAUUUAGGUAGCGCCUCGUGAAUUCAUCUUCGGGGGUAGAGCACUGUUUCGGCUAGGGGGUCAUCCCGACUUACCAACCCGAUGCAAACUACGAAUACCGAAGAAUGUUAUCACGGGAGACACACGGCGGGUGCUAACGUCCGUCGUGAAGAGGGAAACAACCCAGACCGCCAGCUAAGGUCCCAAAGUCAUGGUUAAGUGGGAAACGAUGUGGGAAGGCACAGACAGCCAGGAUGUUGGCUUAGAAGCAGCCAUCAUUUAAAGAAAGCGUAAUAGCUCACUGGUCGAGUCGGCCUGCGCGGAAGAUGUAACGGGGCUAAACCAUGCACCGAAGCUGCGGCAGCGACACUAUGUGUUGUUGGGUAGGGGAGCGUUCUGUAAGCCUGCGAAGGUGUGCUGUGAGGCAUGCUGGAGGUAUCAGAAGUGCGAAUGCUGACAUAAGUAACGAUAAAGCGGGUGAAAAGCCCGCUCGCCGGAAGACCAAGGGUUCCUGUCCAACGUUAAUCGGGGCAGGGUGAGUCGACCCCUAAGGCGAGGCCGAAAGGCGUAGUCGAUGGGAAACAGGUUAAUAUUCCUGUACUUGGUGUUACUGCGAAGGGGGGACGGAGAAGGCUAUGUUAGCCGGGCGACGGUUGUCCCGGUUUAAGCAUGUAGGCUGGUUGUCCAGGCAAAUCCGGAUAAUCAAGGCUGAGGUGUGAUGACGAGGCACUACGGUGCUGAAGUAACAAAUGCCCUGCUUCCAGGAAAAGCCUCUAAGCAUCAGGUAACAUCAAAUCGUACCCCAAACCGACACAGGUGGUCAGGUAGAGAAUACCAAGGCGCUUGAGAGAACUCGGGUGAAGGAACUAGGCAAAAUGGUGCCGUAACUUCGGGAGAAGGCACGCUGGUGUGUAGGUGAAGUCCCUGCGGAUGGAGCUGAGACCAGUCGAAGAUACCAGCUGGCUGCAACUGUUUAUUAAAAACACAGCACUGUGCAAACACGAAAGUGGACGUAUACGGUGUGACGCCUGCCCGGUGCCGGAAGGUUAAUUGAUGGGGUUAUCCGUAAGGAGAAGCUCUUGAUCGAAGCCCCGGUAAACGGCGGCCGUAACUAUAACGGUCCUAAGGUAGCGAAAUUCCUUGUCGGGUAAGUUCCGACCUGCACGAAUGGCGUAAUGAUGGCCAGGCUGUCUCCACCCGAGACUCAGUGAAAUUGAACUCGCUGUGAAGAUGCAGUGUACCCGCGGCAAGACGGAAAGACCCCGUGAACCUUUACUAUAGCUUGACACUGAACAUUGAGCCUUGAUGUGUAGGAUAGGUGGGAGGCUUUGAAGCGUGGACGCCAGUCUGCGUGGAGCCAACCUUGAAAUACCACCCUUUAAUGUUUGAUGUUCUAACGUUGGCCCCUGACCGGGGUUGCGGACAGUGUCUGGUGGGUAGUUUGACUGGGGCGGUCUCCUCCCAAAGCGUAACGGAGGAGCACGAAGGUUAGCUAAUCCUGGUCGGACAUCAGGAGGUUAGUGCAAUGGCAUAAGCUAGCUUGACUGCGAGCGUGACGGCGCGAGCAGGUGCGAAAGCAGGUCAUAGUGAUCCGGUGGUUCUGAAUGGAAGGGCCAUCGCUCAACGGAUAAAAGGUACUCCGGGGAUAACAGGCUGAUACCGCCCAAGAGUUCAUAUCGACGGCGGUGUUUGGCACCUCGAUGUCGGCUCAUCACAUCCUGGGGCUGAAGUAGGUCCCAAGGGUAUGGCUGUUCGCCAUUUAAAGUGGUACGCGAGCUGGGUUUAGAACGUCGUGAGACAGUUCGGUCCCUAUCUGCCGUGGGCGCUGGAGAAUUGAGGGGGGCUGCUCCUAGUACGAGAGGACCGGAGUGGACGCAUCACUGGUGUUCGGGUUGUCAUGCCAAUGGCACUGCCCGGUAGCUAAAUGCGGAAGAGAUAAGUGCUGAAAGCAUCUAAGCACGAAACUUGCCCC
This 2775-nucleotide ribosomal RNA is filed under the name Klebsiella pneumoniae. RNAcentral describes it as "partial 23S ribosomal RNA". It matches the Rfam family "Bacterial large subunit ribosomal RNA". Lineage: Bacteria; Pseudomonadati; Pseudomonadota; Gammaproteobacteria; Enterobacterales; Enterobacteriaceae. The record is from RNAcentral.